Molecule: non-coding RNA, 69 nt
Organism: Podarcis lilfordi (Lilford's wall lizard)
Lineage: Eukaryota; Metazoa; Chordata; Lepidosauria; Squamata; Lacertidae
Source: the annotation of a GenBank genome assembly
GCCAUAGCUCAGUGGCAGAACACAUGCUUUGUAUGCAGAAGGUCUCAGGUUCAACUUCUGACAUCUCCA